CUCCCCCCAUUUGAAGACUGUAUUACUGUUCCGUUAAUUUUGAAUUCUAUUUUUGUUUCAGAGACUGGGCAAAAAAGAACCUCCUGGAAGGAAGUAUUUUAACCUUCUUAAGCUGUGGUGAAAAAUGCAGUCAAUUAAUAUGUUCAGACGUAUGUAUGCUCUUCAAGAAAAACUGAGAUAUAUGCUCGGUACAGAUACCAAGGUUCAAUAAACCAAUAUUUUUGAUACUAAUAAAAGAUGAUGAUAUGCCAAGGCAGAAGGUGAAAAUGUUCAAUAUUAAUGUGCAUCUAUCUGAAAAAUGGAAAAUAAAGCCCUGUACUGAAGCCAGAAGAAUAAGAAAAGCCUCUGAAUCACUCUGACCAGUGUACUCAGAGCUUGCAACAGGCUAUCAAUAUUUCCAGGAACUGUAAUUCCAGGAGUUUUUGACUUAUCUUUACUGUAAAAGUGUAGGUCUGUUACAAUUUGUGUCUUUAGUCUGACUGGUCCUGGGGUGGGAGAAGAAGGUGGCAUGUAUGUCUUGAAGCACUGUUGGGAAGGACUGUGAGAAGACUGUGUUUGAUCUGUGUCAGUCAGAAUGGUGCUCUAUGGUAACUGAUUUUUGUGCUACAGUGUUUGCAUGUGGAUGUCACCAAAGGAACACCUGUGAAGUGGAUAGCCCUGCCAGAACCUAGGAAAGGCAGGGUUUGUAGGCCUUUAGGUAUUUGCAAGCUCUUCCACCAAAAAUGCUUAGAAGGGGAAACGGUGAGCACGUGAGGGGCAGGAUGAUGGCAUGUCAACCUCAAUGCCUCAGCUGACAUGGAGAAUGAAUUUAGGUAACAGUGGUCCUGCCUGUGAAUGCUCUUC
RNAcentral lists this long non-coding RNA (843 nucleotides) under Phasianus colchicus (ring-necked pheasant). RNAcentral's name for it is "lncRNA (ENSPCLG00000001745.1)". Lineage: Eukaryota; Metazoa; Chordata; Aves; Galliformes; Phasianidae. The record is from RNAcentral.